RNAcentral lists this ribosomal RNA (379 nucleotides) under uncultured eukaryote. RNAcentral's name for it is "SSU rRNA". It matches the Rfam family "Eukaryotic small subunit ribosomal RNA", at positions 587 to 972 of the family's 1831-position model. The record is from RNAcentral.
AGCUCUGUAAGCGUAUACCCAAGUUGUUGCAGUUAAAACGCUCGUAGUCGGAGGUUGGCAGGCAAGCCCGGGGCAUCUUCGCAGACGGACCUGGGUCGGCCACCUUUGUAGAGGGGGACGCAGUGCCACUUGAGUGCGGUGUCAUUGUCACUGCCACCGUUUACUGUGAAAAAAUUAGAGUGUUCAAAGCGGGCGUUUGCCAUGAAUACCUUAGCAUGGAAUAAUAGAAUAGGACCUGUGUUCUGUUUUGUUGGUUUGUGAGGACCGGGUAAUGAUUAAGAGGGACGGUUGGGAGCAUUUGUAUUCCGGCAUCAGAGGUGAAAUUCUUGGAUUGUCGGAAGACAAACGGCUGCGAAAGCGUCUGCCAAGGACGUUUUCA